Molecule: ribosomal RNA, 312 nt
Filed under: Bacillus sp. BJ1
Lineage: Bacteria; Bacillati; Bacillota; Bacilli; Caryophanales; Bacillaceae
Description: bacterial SSU rRNA
Rfam family: Bacterial small subunit ribosomal RNA
Source: RNAcentral
CAAGGCGGGUGCUAUACAUGCAAGUCGAGCGAAUGGAUUAAGAGCUUGCUCUUAUGAAGUUAGCGGCGGACGGGUGAGUAACACGUGGGUAACCUGCCCAUAAGACUGGGAUAACUCCGGGAAACCGGGGCUAAUACCGGAUAACAUUUUGAACCGCAUGGUUCGAAAUUGAAAGGCGGCUUCGGCUGUCACUUAUGGAUGGACCCGCGUCGCAUUAGCUAGUUGGUGAGGUAACGGCUCACCAAGGCUACGAUGCGUAUCCGACCUGAGAGGGCGCUGGGCCACACUGUGACUGACCCAGGAUCAACUCCU